This 74-nucleotide transfer RNA is filed under the name Deltaproteobacteria bacterium. RNAcentral's name for it is "tRNA-Arg". It matches the Rfam family "tRNA". Rfam says of the family: Transfer RNA (tRNA) molecules are approximately 80 nucleotides in length. Their secondary structure includes four short double-helical elements and three loops (D, anti-codon, and T loops). Lineage: Bacteria; Pseudomonadati; Myxococcota; Myxococcia. The record is from RNAcentral.
ACGCCCGUAGCUCAGCUGGAUAGAGCGGUGGACUUCGAAUCCACAGGUCACAGGUUCGAACCCUGUCGGGCGUA